RNAcentral lists this ribosomal RNA (459 nucleotides) under uncultured bacterium. Its description in RNAcentral is "partial 16S ribosomal RNA". It matches the Rfam family "Bacterial small subunit ribosomal RNA", at positions 338 to 795 of the family's 1533-position model. The record is from RNAcentral.
CCUACGGGUGGCUGCAGUGAGGAAUAUUGGUCAAUGGGCGCUAGCCUGAACCAGCCAAGUAGCGUGAAGGAUGACUGCCCUAUGGGUUGUAAACUUCUUUUAUAUGGGAAUAAAGUGCAGUAUGUAUACUGCUUUGCAUGUACCUUAUGAAUAAGGAUCGGCUAACUCCGUGCCAGCAGCCGCGGUAAUACGGAAGGCCCGAGCGUUAUCCGGAUUCAUUGGGCUUAAAGGGAGCGUAGGCGGGCGUUCAAGUCAGCUGUAAAAUCGCGCGGCUCAACCGCGCCCCGCAGUUGAAACUGGACGCCUUGAGUUCACAACAGGCAGGCGGAAUUCGUGGUGUAGCGGUGAAAUGCAUAGAUAUCACGAGGAACCCCGAUUGCGAAGGCAGCCUGCCGGGGUGCGACUGACGCUGAGGCUCGAAGGUGCGGGUAUCAAACAGGAUUAGAUACCCCGGUAGUC